Tolypothrix bouteillei VB521301 is the source of this 284-nucleotide non-coding RNA. The record is from Rfam. Lineage: Bacteria; Bacillati; Cyanobacteriota; Cyanophyceae; Nostocales; Tolypothrichaceae.
GUCAGCACCCCGCUCUGAAGAAACGGGGCUUCGUGCCUCUGCCUUUAGGUAGCUGACCCGCUUAAGUCCUUAACUGGACUACGUUAUCGGCAAGAGUUAAAGUUCGUACCUGCGAAUACGUGAUGCCAGUUCGCUGCUCUACAACCAAAUGGUUAACCAGUUUUACGAGGGGUAAGACAGUGCUGUUUGGAUAGUGAGGCAAAUCUGAAGACGGGUUUCCCGUCGCAGGAUAUUGCCGAACCCGUAAGGGUACCGACCGAUAACUUUGGCAAGGCUCACAUUAC